Molecule: long non-coding RNA, 477 nt
Organism: Prionailurus viverrinus (fishing cat)
Lineage: Eukaryota; Metazoa; Chordata; Mammalia; Carnivora; Felidae
Exons: 3
Source: RefSeq, a predicted model, not a curated record
GGUGGGUCAGUCAGGAUAGACCUGACUUUCAGGAGGACGAGACAUAGUUGAAUACUGAAGAGAGUAUCAGAUGCUGAGAACAUCAUCUGACCUUUGCUUACUGGAGCCAGGUCUCUUACAUUUCUGCCAUUCUCUCAUCCUCUAAGAUCCAAGUUAGUGACGGGAAGUCCUGGUACCUAGCAGCACCAGAUAACACCCGUGGAAGCAAUGCCAUGCACCUACAUAAAGAACUAACAGACGUAAGGGUACCAAGGACUCACGAGCGCUUCAACAGCAGCCUGAGUUGGCUCUUAGUUCAGAAAAACCUAGUAGUUGUCAGGCCUAAAAUUGGUGGGAUAGCAAGAAUUUCCCCUCUUGUCUUUAGCCACUGCCUAUUCCAAUAAGCCCAACGACAACAAAAGAACCAUUAACUCCAAUGAAUGUAUCUUAUUCCAGCUCCCUCCAGGGCAGUUCAGCAGUUAGUUUCACCUCAAUGAA